This 33762-nucleotide long non-coding RNA is filed under the name Micromonas pusilla. RNAcentral's name for it is "long non-coding RNA (MPUS_LNC000119)". Lineage: Eukaryota; Viridiplantae; Chlorophyta; Mamiellophyceae; Mamiellales; Mamiellaceae. The record is from RNAcentral.
GUUCGUGCGCUUCCGCGCUCCCCGCCCGGGGAGGUCGUCUCGGCUCGGUGUCGUUCACGCCGCGGGCUGGACGGCUCUGCGGAACCGCCCGUAGUUGCGGUUAUCCGUCAGAUCGAACGGGUUAACCGCGUUCUCUUCCCAGUUCGCGUCGCGGCGGAACCGCCCGUAGUUGUUGUUGUCCGCAAGGUCGAACGGGUUGAACGCCUUCUCUUCCCAGUUGGCGUCGCGGCGGAAUCGACCGAAGUUGUUGUUGUCCGCGAGCGAAAACGGGUUCUUCCAGUCGAAACCCGACACGGGGGCCAUGUCUUCGGCGGCGGCGACGUCGGUCUCUUUCGCGCCGCGGCGGAACCGUCCGUAGUUGUUGUUGUUCUCGAGGUCGAACGGGUUGAACGCCUUCUCUUCCCAGUCCGCGUCGCGGCGGAACCGUCCGAAGUUGUUGUUGUCCGCGAGCGAGAACGGGUUCUUCAGAACGAAACCCGACACGGGGGCCAUGUCUUUGGCGGCGGUUUGCGGCUUCUCGCGGCGGAACCGCCCGACGUUCGCCUUCUGCGUCACCUGCCUCAGCGCCGCCGGGUCGCCUUUAACGAACCCGUCGUGCGAAAACUCGAGGCGCGCGUCGUCGUCGUUGCCGAGCUUGUGGAACCCGUAAUUGUUCAGCUCACGCUUGAAUCCGUUGAUGUUGACGCGCGCGGGGAACACCGGGAGGACGCCGACGAGCUUCUUCUCGAACGCUUUCGCGUCCUUGACGACGAAGGAUUUGCCGUCUUUGUUCCAGGAGACGACGUCGGACGCGGACGGGUCGCUCACGAGCGUGUGAAGCUUCCUGCGACGGCGACGGAAAGAUGUUUCGGAGGGUGAGAAAAAAAAAACACGUGGUCGUCGACGUGCCUGUCGACGUCAACGGGUUGCCUAGGCGCCAGAGACGCCGCGGACGCGCGCGUUCGCGACGGAUAUCGUCGCCGAGCGCGUCGAGUCGCGAGCGGCGCGCGCGAUUCGACGAACGCCGCGUCGCGCGCGACGCGCGCGACGCGCGCGCGAGGCGUCGCGCGCGCCGAAAGUCGCGUCCGACUGCCGACGGCGCCGAGCGACGCGUCUACGUCAUCGGCCCGGUUGCCCAGGUGCCAAAGACGCCGCGGAGGCGCGAGUUCGCGACGGAUAUCGUCGCCGCGCGCGUCCCAUCGCGAGCGACGCGCGCGAUUCGACGAACGCCGCGCCGCGAGCGACGCGAGCGACGCGCGCGCGCGGCGUCGCGCGCGCAGAAAGUCGCGCGCGAUCGCGAAAGACGCGACGUUUCGACGGCACGGGCCGGGCACGUAAGUUAGUGCGGGGAGAAUCGAGGAUCGAGGGGGAGCGCGCACAUUAUGAACGGCGACACCUUGACGCGAUCGAACGCGUAAGGGUUGCACGAAGGGCGGCGAGCGUGAAGGUGCGUGGGGGCCAUCGUUUGUGGAGUGUCGUGUGCGUGCGUGAGGUGGUCGGGCGUGCUGUAGUGCGCGAUGGGUGCGUGUGUUUUCAGGACUUAAACGUCCCGCGAAAAUUGAAACGCCGAGACUUCGCGCCAAGUUUACGAAAGGGCACGGUGCUGAAAGGUGCCCACGAACCGUCGCGAAAAAAUCGUAUGCGCGUCAGUCUGAAAUUAAUACGUGCCUUCGCCGUUCGCGUGCCUCCCACGAAUUCAAGGCGCCGUCCACGGUGGCAAGCACGCCGUGCCGUUACUCUCCCGACGACACUUAUCCGCGCGCGCGUGCCCGCACAGACACGCACACGCACACACUCCGCGAUGGCCGUCUUCCUCGCCGCUCCCGCGUCGCGCGCGUGCGCGACGCGACGAGUCCUCGCGCGAAGCGCGUCCGCGACGGCGACGCGCGCGCGCGCGGCGCCGCGCGUCGCCGCGCGUCGCGAAGUGAGAUCGUCGUCGUCCGCGAGCGCGCGCGGCACCGCAGAUCUUCUCGGGUUCGGGUUCGCGCGCGCGGCGUCCGCCGGACGCGUCGCGCGCUCGUCCGCCGCGGAGACCUCCGGCGACGCGGAGACCUCCGGCGUCGUCCUCCUCGACCCUCCUCCCGCGCCCGCGCCCGUGCCCGCGCCCGCGGCGGCGCCGGCGGCGACGACGACGACGCCGCCCGUCGACGCGUCGCAAACGUCGCUUCGACGCGUCGCGCGACACGUCCACCGCGAGGCGGAGUACGUCUUCGUUCGAUUCUCGCUCCUCGCGACCGGCGCGUUCGUCCUCAUCGGCGUCUGCGCGUCGCUCGCGCUGUCCGCGCUGCUGUUCAGCAUGGGCGUCAAGGAGGUGCUCUACGAAGCCGUGGGCGCGUGGAUGCAAUUCUCGCCGGUGGGGCUCGGUGCGUUCUAUCUCACACUGGUUCCCAUACGACCGCGUCGGCGUGGUGAACGCCGUUCCUUAAGGACUUUUCCCGGCGUCUCUCUCCGCCCAGGGUCCCUCGCUUUCAAUACCCGACCGCGACGCCUUUCAACUAUUACUGACGCCUUUCAACUCCACCCCGACGUCGCGAGAAUAGUCACCGCCGCCGUCGGCGCGCUCGACCGCUUCCUCCUCGGCAUGGUCUGCCUCGUCUUCGGCCUCGGAAGCUUCGAGCUGUUCUUAGCGCGAAGCUCGAGGAAGGAAGAGCAGCAGCUCGCGAAGCGCGUGAACAAGCCGCUGUGGCUGAGAGUGCGGAGCAUAGACGACUUGGAGCACAAGGUUGGCGAGAUCAUCGUCGCGGUGAUGGUCGUCAACCUGCUCGAGAUGUCGCUGCACAUGACGUACUCCAAGCCCGUGGAUUUGGUGUGGGCCGCGCUCGCGGCGUUGGCGUCCGCGGGCGCGCUCGCGCUCCUGCACUGGAGCUCGGAGAAUCACUGCGGGAAGGACGACGACGCGCCCUGCGCGGUGCACUGAGUCGUCCUCUCGCCGCCGUUUGUAGACGCGUGCGCGCGUUCGUUUGUAAUUUCAAUUUUCAAGUCUACCGAAAAAACCGUUUUGCGUUUGCUGCUAUUUUAGGCUACUACUCCUCGUGAGCACCUCACGCGUCCGCGGCGAGGAGGUGCGGUCUGGCGCACUUCAACACGAUGACACGCCCUGCGCGGUGCACUGAGUCGUCCUCUCGCCGCGAGAGCAUCGAAUCGUAUGCGGCGGCGGCGGCUACGCGCUCCUGUUACGAAAGUACUCCUGAAUGUGCUCGCGGACCAGCGCGGCCGCGGCGGCGACUUGCUCGGGGGCGCCCUCGAUGACGCAGACGCCCUGCGAGUCGUUCAACACGCGAAUGGACGCGCCCGUGCGCUCGCGCAACGAGCGGAUGUUGUUACCGCCCUUUCCGAUGAGCCGCGACUCCGCGCCGGCACACGGGAUGGUCUCCCUCGCGACGCCGACGACGGAGCCGGCGGCCGCGCGGUCCGCCCCAGGCGGGGCGCCCAUCACCGCGACCUGCGAGAUGAUCUCGCGAAUGGCAGCGGCGGCGCCCUGCGCGCCGGGUCCGAUGACCUCCGUGACGCCGUGCCCGCGCUUGAGUUGGAUGCACACGCCGAACCUAUCCUGCAAGUCGCGGAUCGUCCCGCCGCCGUGGCCGAUGAUCAUUCCCUCGUGCCCCGCGGUGCCCUCGACGAUGACGACGUCGUUCGCCCCGCCGCCCGCGGCGGCGGCGGAUUGCGCCGCCGCCGCCGCGGGUUCCGCGCCCGCCGGCGCGCCGCGCGCCGGCUGCUUCGCCGGGCGCUCGUCUUCACCUGGUCCCGCGUUCCCGCGCUCUCCCUCUUCCGCGUACGCCGUGUACUUCGCCGCGCUGCCGCGGCACCGAUCCGCGGGGUACUUGGCCGCGUUCUUCGCCAUCUUCGCGCGCGUCGCCGCCGCGAGGUCGACGCCGCACCGAUCCGCGAGGCGCACCAAGUACAGCUGCACGUCCGCGAGCUCGUCCUCGAGCCGCGCUCUGUCCUCGCGCGACCAGCUCGGCAGCCCCGUCGCGCAGUCGUCGUCGCCGCGCCACUGGAACAGCUCCGACACCUCGCCGACCUCGCCGACCAUGGCGAGGAGGACGUUGCGAGGCGAGUGGAACUGAUCCCAGUCGCGCGCGCGCGCGAACGACGCCUGUUCGCGCCUCAGAUCCUCCAGCGUGACGCGCGCGUCGAAGCCGCCGAACGCGGGAGGCGACGGUCGCGCGGCGGCGUCGGCGUCGGCGUCGGCGUCGAACCGCGCGCUGAGCGUCGCGUCGCUUCGGGAUUCGGAGAGCGUCGUCGUCUUGGAACGCAGUUCGAUCGGUUUGUUUCGGCUCUUGUUCACGCGGAUCGGCGGAGGGACGUGCGGCGCGGGAUCGUCGACGUUCCUCGGCGCGUCCGCGUGGCCGUUGCUCCUGACGUCGAAUAUCAUCUUCAUGUGUUUCACGCCGGCGGCGAGGAGGAUGUCGGGGCAUUCCUUCGCGAGAGCGUCCACUUUGCUUCCGGCGCCGUACCAGUCGUGGAGGGUAAGCUUCGACUCGGGGUGCGUUCGGUACAACUCGGAGAUCACGAGGCUCGCGAGCGUGCCGCACGAGCCGGUCAUGUCCGCGAUGGCGUUCGCGUAAUACCGCGGAUCAAUAUAUCGCGGAGGAAUAUUCUCGUACCCUUUAGCCAUCGUGGCUCACCUCUCUCGCGCGCGGGAGUGUUCGCCCGUGCCUCAGAUCUGGAAAAGCGGGUGCCAAAAAAUACUGUAUUUUUAGUAACAGGCUCGCGCCGCGCGUGCGCCACCGUCCUCCUAUCGCAUCGUCCAUCCACCGUGCCUUGAUCCAUCACAUCGCCCUGUACGCCGCCAGGACGUCCUCCACGCGCCCGAACGCCUCGUCGAACUCGCCCUCGCCGACGCCGUGCUCCGCGUACUGAUGCAGAUACGCGCCCGCGUGCUUCAUCUGAGGGCCGUUCCAUACGAAACAGAUGGUUCAUCGGUCAGUUGAAAGGUGGCGCGAUCAAAUGUUGAAACCGAGCGGUGGGUGAAAAACGUUUUUUUUUAACCUGAUACGCCCUCGCGAGCAUCCGCCCGAUCGGCGGACACGCGCUCUGGCAGUUGCUCAGCAGCGUCAACGACGCGUCGUACCCGCAGAAUCGCGCCCCAGAGUGCGAUACAGACAGCGGCGACGGCGUCCACGUUGGGAACAGCCGCGGGUCGGACAACGCGCCGACGUCCGCGUCCUCCGCGCCCUUCCCUCUUAGAAACGCCAUCGCGGCGAGGCACCUCGUGACGACGCGCCCGCCGCCGUCGCCGCCGGGCUCCACCCCCCAGUCUAACCCUUCCUCCAACGUCGUCCCCGUGAGUAACAUCUGCCGCGCGCGCUUGAUCAGCCCGGGCCACGCGAACGUCGUGAAGUCCACGCUCGUCUGCGGCAUCAUCGGCACGGACCGCAGCGACAGAAGACGCAUCGUCGGGUCGCAGCACGCCCCGCGCGAAACGUCGUGGAGCAGCAUCAGCUUCCGUCCGCAUCCCGCGCCGCCCGCGGGUGUUACACCCCUCGCGACGCUCGGGAGUAACACCCCCGCGAGCUGCGUCGCGGCGACGCCGUUCAUGUCGUCGAACGUCGGCCGCUUAAUCUUCAGCGCGCCGACACACGCGCGAUGGAGCUGUUCGUUUUGCACGACGCACACGCCGUCCGACACGUUCAGCAGCGUCGAUAACGUCAACAGCGUGUUGUAGCACUGCACGAUGACCUCGCCGCUCUCGUACGGCCACACGCAGUGGUUCAGGAUCGUCGCGCCGCGGUGCUCGUCGCGGAUCGCCUCGGCGACGAACGCGCCGAGGCCGGCGCCGGUGCCGCCCGCGAGCGACUGCGUCAGGAGGAAUCCGCCGAGGUGGUCGCAUCGCUCCGCCUCGCGUCGAACGAGCUCCAGGGCUUCGUCGCGCACGAGGCCGCCGUAGGUGUUGUACCCGCGCGCCCAGUUGUUCCCGCUGCCGCUCUGGAACGCGAGCGCGCUGUUCGCGUCGUACCGCCAUCUGUGCGACGAGCGCCGCGCGCGCUUGAGCGACGACGCGAUGACUUUCGGUUCCAUGUCGAUCAACACCGCGCGCGCGGUGGGGGAGGAGGAGGAGGAGGAGGAGGAGGACGGCCUCGCCGCGCCGUCGCCGCUGCGGAAGAACGCCUGCGUGCGUGCGGUGGAAGAGAGAGAGAGAACGAGUGCGAGAGGUGAGAUGCGCGAGCGCGGGGGAUGGACGCGGAGGAGGAGAGCGCGGCGCCCGCGGGCGAGGAGAGAAGUCGGCAUCUUCUCUCUCGAGAGUGAGAGAGAGACGACGCGCGCGCGCACCUCGUGAAUCUCGUCGCGGACGCUCGGCGACGACGCCGCCGCCUCCCUCGCGAGCGUGUCGAACAGCUCGCAUCCGACCUGGUUUCCGCACUGCCCGAGCUGCACGGUCACGACCGAGCCGGGCAUCGUCCUCCGCCGCGACCCGUCCUCGACGCGCCGUCUGUGUGGUCGCGCCGCGGUUCAAACUCUGUCGUCCUCGACUCGUCGCUGAUGAAGGCGAGGUGCCGCGUCGUGCUGGCAUAUCGACCGACCAUUGAUCGAGGAGGGGUUCCGAUCAAAAAGUGCUGAAAGGGUUUUUUUAUCGCAAGAACCGAUCAAAAGCUGAACGCAGGUGAAAGAAAAUCCACCUUCUGGUCAGCGCUUCGUAGGAACGCGCCUCUCAUCACUCGUCGAUCGCGCCCCGACGCUCCGCCGCGCUCAUGGUGGACCCGACGCACGAGUACAACCACGACACGUGCCCCGCGUGCGCCGGCCACGGCCAGGUCGCGACGAGCGACGGCUUCGCCGCGUGCGCGUCGUGCAGCGGCAGAGGCGCGUGGGCCCCGCCCGCGUCGUGCUGCGCCGCGCACGACAAGGGCGGUAAUAAAGGAGGAUGCGAGACCGGGCACGGCGCGAGCGACGCGAAGCCCAAGCCGCGGCUGCGGUCGCACGGCGCGUUACCCGCGGCGAACAUGCGCGAGCUCCUGACGCGCGUCGACCUGGAGGACGAGGACGGGAACCUUCUCGACGCGGCGAGCGCGUUCGAGGGGAAAGUCGUCGCGCUCUACUUCUCGUCCGCGACGUGCCCGGCGUGCGCGAGCUUCACGCCGAAGCUCGCGCGGCUCGCGACGGAUCACGCGCGCGACCUCGUCGUCGUGUACGUCGGCGGCGAUCGCACGGAGGCGCAGGCGGAGGGGCCGCACACGCGGGGGCGCGGGUUCCUGCGCGUGCCGUGGCGAUCGGUGCAUCGCGAGGUGUUGCUUCAAUCCUACCGCGUGUUCGCGAUACCGCAGGUGGUGGUCUAUCACCCCGUGCGGCAGAAGACGGUGACGACGUGGGGGCACACCGCGAUCAGGCGCGUUCUGUUCUUCUGUGCCGCGCUCGCCGGUCCUCGAGGACUUUAUUACUUCCCGGCUCGCCGGUCCUCGAGGACUUUAUUACUUCCCGGCUUCGUUUUCUCUCCGCGCAUGCACCCCUCGGUUUCGAUCCCGACGCACACGCCUCGGCGCCUCACGACUCCACCAUUCACGAUUCAUUCACGACAUUCACCUCACGACUCCACCGUUCUGACGCGCCCCCGAACUCCACCCCGACCUCGUCGCUUCGUACUAUGGACCCUCCCUGACCCUCAGCGUGAACCCGGGGAAGUGCGUCAGCGCGUGGAAGAGAGGAGAGACCGGUUACUCGUUGCUGGAGAUGCUCACGCCGAGCUCGUGUUCCGGCGCGUACGACGGCGUGCCCAGCGUCGUCUCCUCGCAGUCGACCGGAUACGCGAAGUGAUAUACUUUAACAUAUGAUACUAUGAUAUAUGUUAUACUAUAUGAUAUAUGUUAUGAUAGUUACCCUCUCGCGUACGUCCCCGGGGCGUCGUCCCGCGGCGGGUUCGCCUCCGUCGGCGACCCGUCGAUCUGCCGAAUGGCUUCGUACACGCCGACGCCCGCGCUCACCGCCAGGUUUAAACUCCGGACGUGGUCCUCGUCUAUGGGUAUCCGGCGUAUGCCCCCGCUCCGCGCGCACGCGUCGUGCGCCUCGUCCGGUAACCCCGUGGUCUCCGCGCCGAAGAGGAGCCAAUCGCCGGGGAGGUACGCGCCCUCUUCCGCGUGCGGCCGGGCGCCGAAUUUGCUGAGGGUCGAGGUCGGGGUGGAGUUCAAAGGCGUCAGGGGUGGAGUUGAAAGGCGUCGAGGUGUGUCGGGAUCGAAAGCAGCGAGGGGGUGGGCGGAGAGAGACGAACGCCGGGAGAGAAAGUCCUCAAGGAAUCGCAUGCACCGCGCCGACGCGGUCGUAUGGGGACCAGCGUGAUGGACACAGAACGCGCCUGAACGCGACCAGACGACCGGGGGCCCCGAGGUCGACGGACCAGUACGCGUAGAACGCGUCCCAGUCGUCGUGCACGCGCACGCACACGCUGUGCCUGCGACGGGCGGGAGGAGAUGGACGAUGAGCGGGAUGGACGGAGGGGCGCGACGGCGACGGGGAGGGGGGAGCGCGUAUCGAUCGAUAGAUCAAUCGGUCGAUCGGUCGGUCUAUCGAUCGGUCGAACGCACCAGUAGUCGAGCCCCGCGCGCUUGAGCUGGCUGUCCUCUAACGUGAACCCUAACGGCCCGACUAAGUGCAGCGGCACGCGCGACGCCGCGCACGUCCGCGCGAUCGUCCCGGUGUUCCCCGGGAUCUGCGGCGAGACGAGCACGACCGCGAGGUCCGCGCGCUGAUUUUCCGCCGCGAGCUCGACGCCGUCGCGGCUCUUUCCGGCGAAGAGGUUCGCCGCGCCGCUCCCGCUCGACGCGCGCGGCGUCGUCGCGUUCGCAUCGCGCGGCGCGGGAGUCGCGCGGUGACGCUUCGCGAGGAGCGCGUUGAACGCGCGCGGGAGGACGAGGUACGGCAUCGCGCGCGGCGUGCGGUGCGGUGCGCUCGCUCAUUCAUACACCGUUGCCCUAAGCUCACGAAACCCCCGAGACUCGACUCGUCCGCGUCCGCCAGCUGUACAACGUUGUACUCAUACUCCGCUCGCUCACGGCGUCCGCGGCGGGGUCUUCGGCCGCGCCGUCGCCGGUCUCGGGCUCGCCAUCGCCGCGAGCGCCGCCCUCGCGGCCCUUUCCGCGAUGCUCCUCCCUCUCCCCGGCGGCGCGACGGUCGAGCUCUGGUCUUCCCGUCCCCCCUCGCCGCGUCGCCGUCGCGCCCACGCCGCCGCCGCCGCUUUCUUCACCGAACCGCCCCCUCCCCCGCCGCCGCCGUCGCCCUCCGCGUUCUCCUUCUCCGCGCCGCGCCGUCGUCCUCGUCCGCGCGGCGUCGGCGUCGGCGGCGAAUAGCGCUCCCGCGGCGUCUCCCCCGCGCCGAGUAACGCUCGGUUCGCGCGCGUUCGCAUCGCCGCUCGGUACGCGCGCGUCGCCGCCGCCUCCACGGUUGCGUCCACCUUCGCGCGCGCGCGCGCCGCGCUCGCGCUCGUCGUCGCGGCGUCCGGCGCCGGCGCCUUCGUCCGCGUCGUCGCGCUCGCCGCGCGCGUCUUCACCGGCGUCGCGAAGAUCUCGCGCGAGGGCGACGUCACGACGAGCACCGCGUCCGUCGCGUCGUCGUCGUCCUCCUCCUCCUCCUCCGACUCCGCGUCGAAGAGACGCGUCGCUCGCGAUGUUGACGAGAACAGCAACGACGCCGCGGCGGCUUCCUUCUCCGCGGUCGCCUCGAGCGCGACGUGCUCGAACAUCUCCGCCGCGCUCGGUCGCGACGGCGGCGGCGACGGCGACGCGACGGGCGCGGCGUUCGCCGCGCGGCGCGCGCACGGCUGACAUCGCGUCUGAGCCGUGGUCGUCGUCGUGGCCAUCAUCACGGCGAGCUCGUGCCUCAGCGACUCGUUCUCGUCUCGCAGCGCCGCGACCUCCGCCUCCGCGGUCUUCGCUCGGAGGAGCGCCGCUCGCAGCCUCGCCUCGGGGGUGUCUUCGAACGCGAACGACGACGCGAGCGCGGCGGCCGCGCGCGGCAUCGUCGCGUCGUCGUGCCUCCCCCCGUCGCGCCAGAUGGAGUGCGGCGCCGCGCCGCGCGAAAUGCCACGCCAGCGCAGCGCAGCAGCGCGACGAGCUGCUUCGGAGUUUGAAAGGCUCGCUCGUUUGGGCGGAGGAAAGAGACGCGCCGCGCGCACUUCAUAACGCGCGAGAGGACGGCCUGAUCGUCGCUUCGCGCCGCCAUGAAGCUCGAUUUCAGCGUCCUGGACGCGCCGACGCGGAAGAUCGACGCGGAGAUCGCGGAGUGGUGCGUCCCCGCGCGCGAUCCCGCGCGCCUCGUCGCCUUCGCGUCCGCCCAGCCCUGAGAUCUCGCGCCUCGAAGAGGCGACGACGACGACGACCGCGCGCUGACCUCGCGCCUCCCCACCCCCUCCGCAUCGCGCCCCCCAACCCUUCCCUCGAUCGCAGCGCCGCGGAGAUCAACUCCGACGUCCACGCGCAGAACUUCAAGCUCCCGAUGGUCGAGAACGUGCGUCGUCCCUCCCCCGAUCCCUCCCCAGCGCGCGCCUCGACGUCAUUUCUUAGGGUUGCCAACGGACGCCGCGCGCGAGAUCCGACGACCGAUCGCCGACCCCCCCCCGCCUCCAUCGAUCCUCCCCCCCAUCCCGCAGUACGACUCGUUCCAGCGCGAGGUCGUGGACUACGUCAAGCCCAACCACGGCACGACGACGCUCGGGUUCAUCUUCGAGCACGGCGUCGUCAUCGCGGUGGACUCGCGCGCGUCGCAGGGGCCGUACAUCUCGUCGCAGACGGUAAAGAAGGUGAUCGAGAUCAACCCGUACCUCCUCGGAACGAUGGCCGGCGGCGCCGCGGACUGCCAGUUCUGGCAGCGGAACCUCGGGAUCCAGUGCCGCCUCCACGAGCUCGAGAACGGCAAGCGCAUCAGCGUCUCCGGCGCGUCGAAGCUGCUGUCGAACACGCUUUACGGCUACCGCGGGCAAGGGCUGUCCAUGGGGACGAUGGUCGCCGGGUGGGAUCUCAACGGCCCGGGUCUGUACUACGUCGACAGCGACGGCACGCGGUUGAAAGGGAAGCGGUUCAGCGUCGGGUCCGGGUCGCUGUUCGCGUACGGCGUGUUGGACCAAGGGUACAGGUGGGAUCUGAGCGUCGAGGACGCGUGCGAGUUGGGGCGAAGGGCGAUCUACCACGCGACGUUUCGAGACGCGUUUUCCGGCGGCACGGUGAGCGUGUAUCACGUGGGGCCGGACGGGUGGACGAAGAUGUCCGGCACGGACGUCGGGGAGCUGCACUACGAGUACUACCCCGCGGAUCCGAUCGCGACGGAGGCGGAGGCGGAGGGAGGGGGGGAGGAGCCGGAGAGCAUGGAGACGUCCGAGCAGAAGUGAGGGUCGCGAGUGGAACGGCGGACGACGGCGGGGCUGUAACGAAACUCCUUAUUUCUCGGAACUGCCGCUCUCGUUUCUUCGACCACGACGCGCGUCCGUCGUUCGCACUGUGCCGCGCGCGCGAUUGGGACGAUACGAUGAUGACCUUGCUCUCGCGCGUCGCGGGCGUGAUGUUCUCCUCGCGCGAUUCCCUCCGCGACCACACGCCUAUCGCGCACCUCUCUCCGAAAACGCCCGAAGAAGAGCGUGCUCCUCCGAAGUCGCGAUACGUGGGCGUGGUCGCGGGCGCGUGGAAGAAAUCAAAAAAGACUUGGGUAGCUCAGCACGGCGGUGAGCUAGGGAGAUUCCCCACCGAGCUCGAAGCCGCGGAGGCGUAUUGCAAAGCACUGGGGUUUCCCGAACCUCUGCUUCGGGUGGAGGGCGAGUGCGGAAGAGCGACAGUAAAACGAGAGCGACUUAAAUACGAGCGGCCGUCUGACUACAAAGCUGCUCCCAAGUCGCGAUACGUAGGCGUAACCGCGAGUGGCAACUGGAAGACCGCGAAGAACAAGUGGCAGUCGACGUUCCGUGGUAAGUACGUGGGCACUUUCGCGACGGAGGAAGAGGCGGCUCAGGCGCACGCGGACGCGAAAGGCUGUCCGGGCCCGGUCCUUCGCGAAGGCGGCCUUCGCAAGCGCAAGAACCCCGACGACGCCGUUCUGGAAGCCGAGGAGGUCAAGGAGGUAGAAUCCGACGAUGAUGAUCGCGAUGAGGUCGUCAUCGUCGAGAAAUUCCCCGACGUCGGCACGCGCGUGAAGAAACGCUUCGGGUCCAAGUCCAGUCGCCGGUGGUGCGAGGGCGCGGUGACGAAAGUCGACGCCGGCGACGACGCGCCCGUGACGGUGACGUUCGACGACGGCGACGUCGAGCGGCUCACCGUCGCGCGGUACGAAUGCGAGUGCGUCGCGCUCCCGGCGUCGCGCACGAAGAAGCUGAAGUGCGUAUACUGUGCGCACGUCCUGUCGGUGACGUAUAAGGAGACCGAGCGCGACGACUUCACGUUCGAGUGUCCGUACGAAGGAUGCGGGAGACCGCUGCGCCUCCCUCGAAAGAAAGAGUGAAUGAAUAGUAAGGUCAGGGCUCGCGUCGUUAAUAAAGAUACGAACGAGACGAACACGACUACUUCUUCUCCUUCUUCGCCUUCUUGUCCUUCUUCGUCUUCUUCGCGUCGCGCGACCCCCCGGGCGACCGGCUCCUCGAUCGACUCCUCGACCCGCUCCGAUCUCGCGACCGCUUCCCCCCGCGGUCGCCCCUCCCGCCGCCGCCGCGAUCGCCGCCGCGAUCGAGCCCGUCCUCGAUCAGCUCGUCCAACAGCGCCUCGCCCUCCUCCAACGCCUCCCUCGCCUUCGCCUCCCUCGCCGCGAGCUUCGCCGUCCACUCCGCGAAGAUCGCCUCGCACUUCUCCGGAUACCCCGGCGCGCUCUGCCGCCCGUCCUCUGUCGCGUCGCGCCCGCGGACGGCGCGGAUCCAAUCGCGAUCCUCGCCCAGCGCCGCCUCCGCCUCCUCCCACGUCGUCGACCCUCGCACCUCCCUCCGCGCGCUCUUUAUGAGCCGCGCGAAGUCGUCGAGCGCCCUGGCCUCGCGCUUGGCGUCGACGCGCGCGCGCUCCUUCGCGCACGCGACCGCGUCCGCGCACGCGCGCGCGAGCGACGCCUCCGGAAGCGGAAGCGACGAUCCCGGGUGAGGUUGAUUCGUCAUCUUAUCGCGCACCGCGUCGGCGAGCGCCGCAACGUCCGUCUCCGCCGUGACCUCCAUCCCGCCGCACGCCACUCUCGCGGUCUCGAUCACGGCGUCGCGCUCCUUCGCGGCGUCCGCCUCGAGCUUCUCCUGCGCGUCCUCGUACAGCUCCUUCGGGCGGCUUCCGCUGAAGUUUUCGCACGCCGCGAUGUACCGCAAAUCGUCCGAAACCGACUUCGCGAAGGUCCGCCACGGCAUCCUCAGCGUGAUCAACCCCGCGCCGACGCGCUCGUCGAUCAUCUCAACAAACGCCUCGCGGUUCUUCCGUUCCGUCCGCAGCCGCUCGAUCCGUUCCGUCUCUCGGUCGUCCGCCUCUUUCUUCUCCAGCUCCUCCAUCAACGCGACGAACGUCUCGAGUCGGUCGACGCGAUCGCACGCGGGCGACCUCGGAUCGUUCGCGCACUGCUCGUGCACUUUCCUCCACACGCUCGUGACCUUCACGCCGCGCUCUACGAGAAGUUCGCGGUACGCCGCCGUCGUCUCUUUCCUCCGUAUCCGCCGCUCCUCGCGCUCGGUCGCGCGUUGGUCGUCGAGGAACUCGCGAAAUAAAUCCUCGCGGUCGCGCGGCGUCUUCACCGCGAGCCACCGCGCGUCCUCCACCAGGUCCUCCGCGAUGUCCUUCAGCCGCGUGCUCUGCGUCACCCACCCGAGCUCGUCCGCGCGCUCGCGCAGCAUGGUCUUGAACGCCUCGCGCGUCGCCUUCUCCGCGAGCCGUUUCUCCUCGCGGUCUUGCUUGGCCUUUUGCGUCUGCCACUCGUUGAAGCACUGUUUCUUUUCUCCGAGCGUCUUGAGCGCGCCGUAGCGUUCGUCUUGGAUGAUGAGGCGCAUCGCGUCCUCCCACUUCAUCCCCGCGGUCGCGUUCUUGUCGCUGAGGAGCUCCUUGAAGGCGUUCUUCGCUUCGUCUUUGUUCGCGUACGUUCGCGGCGCGGCGGACGGAGCGGCGGCGGCGGCUGCAGGAGCGGCGGCCGGAGCGGCCGGAACCGCCGAGCGACCGUUCGCCCUCGGCUUCGCGCCGCCGCCCCCGCCCCCCCCUCCCGCCGCGGCAGCCUUCACCGCCGCCUGCGCGAUCGCCGCCGCCUCCCGCACGACCCUGAGCUCGUCCGGGAUCUGCCACUUUGUCUCCUUCGUGUCCUUGUGGUAGUAGUACGACCGUCCGUCCGCGGCGACGUGCUCCCUCCAUCGCGUCGUCGCGUCCGCGCGCUCCGUCGGCGUCAUCAGCGCUUCCGGCUUCUCGUACGUGCUCUGCCGCGUGAGCGCGUUGAAGAAGUACUCGCGACCGUCCGCGCCGCGGUGGGCGGUCCAGUCCGCCGCGCCGGGCGCGGGCGCGGGCGCGGCGGGCGGGAUCGGCGGCGCGCCGACGCCCGCGGCGGAUCUGUUGGCGCCGGGCGGCCCGGGAGGCGUCGGGAGGGUCCCGGGGGGCGUUCCGCCGGGCGGCGGCGCGCCAGCCCCGGGCGCGGUCAUCCACGCCGGCAGCGUCGCGGCCCUACCGCGUCCGGCCAUGGCGCGAGGGCGCGUCGAACCCUCUUAGAUCUCACCGAGCGCGCCGCGGCCUCGGCGAUCGGAUCAGUGCCGCGAUAAUUCGCUUCGAUCGGCUUCCAGUCGUCCGUCUUCAAGUUUUGCUUUGUUCGUCGACUGACUCGUUGUACUGUAAUCCUUCUUAUCCGAAGUAAGAUUCGUAACGCGACUGCGACUGAUCGAACGAGCGCGUUUAAAUGUAAUAAUACAGUACGGCAUUCAUCUCCCCCUCCCCUAAGCGCAUGAUGCGGUUGUUGGGGGACUACUUCCUCUUCUCGGACCCCGCGCGCCUCCUCUUCGUCGUCUCCGCCUUCUCCUACGGCGUCUUCUUCUUCUUGCUCAGCGUCUCGGACCUCUUCUUCUGCGUCUCCGCCUUCUCCGCCACGGUCUUCUUGCUCAGCGUCUUGCUCAGCGUCGCGAGCAUCUUCUUCUUCGUCUCCGCCUUCUCCGCCACGGUCUUCUUGCUCAGCGUCUUGCUCAGCGACGCGAGCCUCUUCUUCUCCGUCGCCGCCUUCUCCGCGUCGGUCUUCUUGCUCAGCGUCUUGCUCAGCGUCGCGAGCAUCUUCUUCUUCGACGCCGCCUUCUCCGCGUCGGUCUUCUUGCUCAGGUUCUUGCUCCGCGACGCGAGCCUCUUCUUCUCCGACGCCGCCUUCUCCGCGUCGGUCUUCUUGCUCAGCGACGCGAGCCUCUUCUCCUCCGUCGCCGCCUUCUCCGCGUCGGUCUUCUUGCUCAGCGUCUCGAUAAACUUCUCCUUCGACGCCGCCUUCUCCGGGGCGGUCUUCUUGCUCACCGUCGCGAGCAUCUUCUCCUUCGACGCCGCCUUCUCCGCGGCGGUCUUCUUGCUCAGCGUCUCGAUCCUCUUCUCCUUCGACGCCGCCUUCUUUCUCUUCUUCAGUCCGCGCGUCCCCACCCCGGGCGCGUUCUUCGACUGGCCCGUCACCUUCCAGUACUGCUGCCCCUCCUUGAUCCUCUCGGAGAACCACGCCGCCAUCUCCGGCGUGAUCUCGAGCAGGCGGCCGUCCUCCAUGAACUUCGCCAAGAGCGUGUCGAAGGUGCCCUCCGGCCCGCCGAAGUGCACGAACAAGUCCGCCAUGCUUCGGAUGAAGCGCUCCGUGAGCCAUUGCGUCGACCUGAUGGACGUCGCCAAGCACAUGUGACCGGACUUGGUGUGGACAUCACCGUCCAGCUCGGGCCACAGGGCGCGCUCCGCGGGCAUAUCCGCAGGGCAGUGCUUCGCCAUCCAUUCGCGUGCCUGUGAACGGUCGGGGGAGGAAGGGGCGCGCGCGUCAGUCAGAAAACAAGAUCGGGGCGUUGCAGCGCAGCGUCGUCGAAAAAGUCGAGGGGCGUGGGAAAGAAGGAACUCACCGGCCGACCGAAGCCCCCCGCGCGUUCGGGCGUCCCGCAGGCGUUCAACGCCUCGACGAUCAAGUCCUCGAUCAACUUCCUCUCGCGCGUCUCGACGCCUUUCAAGAUGAUCUUGCCGGCGUCGUGACGCCCUGGCCAGGGAAUCAUGUUUGUCAUGAGAAACGAAGGCGCGCGAGCGCGACCGGCCGCGGGCGUGUCACCGAUGUGAACAAAAAACCAGUCCCAGACGUCGGAAACGAGCCGCUUCCCGUCGGCGCGGAGCUUUCGCAAGUUCCCGCGGAGUCCGAUCCCGUCGGUCUCGAAGUGCCCGAUGAUGACGUUGAACUCCUCCUUGAGGCCGCUCUCGUUCCACUCCGCGUCCUCGGGAAGAAGAAUCCGCCUGAAGUGCAGCUUGCGGCCGAGGAACUCGCCGAUGGCGUCGACGAGUUUCUCCAAGUCGCGCUGCGCGGCGUCGAACUUUUCCUUCGGAGAGAGCUUGCACGACGGAUCCGCGCGCGCUUCGAAGCGGUCGCGGAUGUCCUGGACCGUGGCAUUGAACUUCUUUUGCUUCGCGCUCGGUUCAACGACGCGCGUCCUGCCUUGCGCUCUCUUCCUAGCGACCAUGGUGGCCGAAGCGCGCCUGUGGACGAGCGGCGGAGGACGGACGUAUGGUGACGCGCGAAAAAAACGGCGAUGGCGAGAUUCGCGGAAAAGCGAUCGAGGCGCGGCGAGGGGAAGCCGCGCGCGCGUCGGCCGCGGUCGCGCGCGUCCGUCGCGCGCCCGACGGCGCCGCGCGCGCGCGCGCUUGGAUUCGACGCGGGGAAGGAGUCGAGCGCGCGCAACUGAGGGUGCGCGUGCCGCGGGGAGCGAACAGUGACGGACCGCGCGCGGAGCGGCGGUUCGGGCGACGAAAAAAAAGCUGUCAAGUUCGCGUUCAGUUCACAGUUCACAGCUGUACGUGUACACGUACACACUCGUCGCCCCGACGCGUCCUCCUCGUCAGUGUCUCGCCUAGGAUUGGAGUCGAAGCCGGAGACGUAUUACGCUCGCUAUUCCUAAAACGGGUUCGUCUUCGUGGACACCGGCGGCGCUUUCGCGACCGCCUUCGCCGUGACGUCCGCGAGAUGUCUGCCCUUGUGAUACAGCUCCGGGCACCACCGGCGCUUGUACUCGUCCCUCGCCUCGGUCUCCGCGUUGAACACCGCGUUGAGAAAAUCGUCGCGCGUCGUCCCCGGUCGCGCUUCCCAAAUCGCGCGAUUCCGACGCCGCGGCUUGAACACCGGCUCUUUCCUAUCCUCGAAGUCGCUCCUCCACAGGCUCCGCGUGGCGAGUUCGCCCUCCUCGCGAACCGACGCCCACCGCCCGAACCGCCGCGCGUCCAUGCGCGGGUUCCCAAACUCCGCGUCCCAGCGCGCGAGUUCAGUCUCGAGCUCCAACGCGAGCAGUUCCUCUUCCAGUUCGCGCUUAGGGCCAUUCCAUACAAGCGAACGUCGGGGUGGAGUUCAAACGCGUCAGUUGGAGUUGAAAGGCGGCGAGGGCGGGCGUUGAAAGCGAGGGGUGGGCGGAGAGAUGCGCCGGGAAAAGUCCUUAAGGAUCGGCGUUCACCACGCGGACGCGGUCGUAUGGGGACCAGUGUAUAGAACGCGCCUUAACGCGUCGUCGUCCAGCCGCGGCGACGCGAACGCCGCCGCGUCCACGUUGUGCAUCAGAAACGCUCCCCUCAGGUGCGUUAACCCGAACCGCUUCAGCGCGGCGAACACGGGGGCGUACUCCGAGAGCCCCGCGACGGAUUCCUCCGUGAGAUGCUCCGCGGUCUUCGAGCGCCACACGAGCUCGACGACGUUUGAUGAUUUUCCCGCGAGCUCGCGCUCGACCCAGUCGUGCGAUCCCCACACGUCCGUGAUGACCUCGCCGUUCGGCCCGCGUCGCGCGCUCAGGACGCAGUACGUCGCCGCGCACUUCCGCAUCGUCUCCGCCGCGCGCUUCGCGUGGGCGAUUACCUUGCGGUGCGUCGCCGCGCGCCACUCCCCGUCCGCGUUCGCGACGGCGAUCUGUCUGCGGCGCUUCUUCGCGCCGACGUUUCCCGCGACGUCGCGGCACGCGCAAUCGCAUCGCGCGUCGCGGCAGGUCGCGCUUCUCGGGUGGCGGUCGUGCCCGCACGCGACGCACGUCACCGACGUCGGCGGGCGUUUGCCGCCGCCGCCGCCGCCGCCGGCGGCGGCGGCGCUCGAGCUCGCCGGCGCUCGCAUGCGGCGCGCGGGGGCGAGUGAUGAAGAUACCUCGGCGUAAACAACGCGGUUUUCUCAGAAGAGCCGGCUCCGCUCCGCGCCGUCACGCAUUCGGCCGCCGCGCGAGCACGGCGUCCGCGCGCGGAACCCCGAGCGCGGCGUUCCCGCGCGCGAACGCUCCCGCGACGCCAUGGUCGUCCAGGUCCCGGUCAUGUCGCAAGGUACCCCCACACACACACCCCGGCGACGGACGUCGCGCCGCCGUCCCUCGACCCGCGCGCCGAAACCCGCCACCCAUCCAUCGGGUGCCCUCAUCCAGCGCCACCACCGCGAAAAGCGCCCUCGUCGACACGUCGACAUCUCGCGUCCACUCACCCUCUUCUCCUCCCCCCGCGUCCACUCACCCUCUUCCCCUCUUCUCCGCCUCCCCCCCCCCCCCCCCCCNNNNNNNNNNNNNNNNNNNNNNNNNNNNNNNNNNNNNNNNNNNNNNNNNNNNNNNNNNNNNNNNNNNNNNNNNNNNNNNNNNNNNNNNNNNNNNNNNNNNNNNNNNNNNNNNNNNNNNNNNNNNNNNNNNNNNNNNNNNNNNNNNNNNNNNNNNNNNNNNNNNNNNNNNNNNNNNNNNNNNNNNNNNNNNNNNNNNNNNNNNNNGGGGGGGGGUUUGCCGCCGCCGCCGCCGCCGCGGGGGGGGGGGGCGUUGGAGUUUGCGGGCGUUCGCAUGGGGCGCGGGGGGGGGAGUAAAAAAAAUACCUGGGGGUAAACAACGGGGUUUUUUCAGAAGAGCGGGUUCCGUUUGGGGCGGUAAGGCAUUGGGCCGCCGGGGGAGCAGGGGGUCCGCGCGGGGAACCCCGAGGGGGGGGUUCCCGGGGGGGAAGGCUCCCGGGACGCCAGGGUUGUCCAGGUCCGGGUAAUGUCGCAAGGUACCCCCACACACACACCCCGGGGAGGGAGGUGGGGCCGCCGUCCCUGGACCCGGGGGCGGAAACCCGCCACCCAUCCAUGGGGGGCCUUAAUCAAGGGCCACCACCGGGAAAAGGCCCUUGGUGGAAAGGUGGAAAUUUGGGGUCCACUCCCCUUUUUUUCCUCCCCCGGGGUCCACCCCCCUUUUUCCCUUUUUUUCGGCUUCCCCCCCCCCCCCCCCCCCCCGCAGAGGAAGCGCGCGUGCGCGCCAUCACGGACGUCGUCCAGCAGAUGAUCGCGUCCGUGAAGUCCGGCAAGGUGAUGAACCUCAACGCCGUCAAGAACGCGGCCGCGCGGAAAUACGGCCUGCGCCGAUCGCCCAAGCUCGUCGAGCUCAUCAGCGCGGUCCCGGACGAGCACCGCGACGCGCUCCUCCCGGCGCUGCGCGCGAAGCCGGUGCGGACCGCGAGCGGGAUCGCGGUCGUCGCGGUGAUGUCCAAGCCGCAUCGGUGCCCGCACAUCGCGACCACGGGGAACAUAUGCGUCUACUGCCCGGGAGGGCCGGAUUCCGAUUUCGAGUACUCCACGCAGUCGUACACAGGGUACGAGCCGACGUCCAUGCGCGCGAUUCGCGCGCGGUACGACCCGUACGUCCAAGCGCGCGGGCGCGUGGAUCAGCUGCGGAAGCUCGGGCACAGCGUGGACAAGGUGGAGUACAUCCUCAUGGGCGGGACGUUCAUGAGCUUGCCCGCGGAGGUGCGUUCUAUACAAACGUUUUUCACCCAUCGCUCGGUUUCAACACUUGAUCGCGUGGGUCCCUUUCAACUGACCGAUGAAUCUUUUUUGUAUGGAACGACCCUCAUCACAGUACCGGGACUGGUUCGUGAGGAACCUGCACGACGCGCUGUCCGGCGCGAGCAGCGCGUCCGUCGCGGACGCGGUCGCCGCGUCCGAGCAGUCGAGAAUGAAGUGCGUCGGGCUGACGAUCGAGACGCGGCCGGACUACUGCCUGUCGCCGCAUCUGCGUCAGGUGGGUUCUAUACAAAAGUUUUUCACCCAUCGCCCGGUUUCAACAUUUGAUCGCGUCUCCUUUCAACUGACCGAUGAACAUUUUUUGUAUGGAAUGGCCCUCAGAUGCUUCUGUACGGGUGCACGCGCCUGGAGAUCGGGCUGCAGUCGAUUUACGAGGACGUCGCGCGGGAUACGAACCGAGGGCACACGGUCGAGGCGGUGCAGAAGUGUUUCGAGCUCGCGAAGGACGCCGGGUUCAAAGUCGUCGUGCACAUGAUGCCGGAUCUGCCCAACGUUGGGAUGGAACGCGACCUGGAGUCGUUUCGCGAGUUUUUCGAGAGCCCAGACUUUCGCACAGACGGCUUGAAGCUCUACCCGACGCUCGUCAUCCGCGGCACCGGUCUGUACGAACUCUGGCGCACGGGGCGAUACCGCAACUACGCGCCCGAUCGCCUCGUGGACCUCGUCGCGCGCGCGCUCGCGCUCGUCCCGCCGUGGGUCCGCGUGUACAGAGUCCAACGCGAUAUCCCGAUGCCACUCGUCACCGCGGGCGUCGAGAAGGGCAACCUCCGAGAGCUCGCGCUCGCGCGCAUGGGCGACCUCGGGCUCCGGUGCCGCGACGUGCGGACGCGCGAGGUUGGGAUCCAGGACAUCCACAGCAAGGUGAAGCCCGAGGAGGUUGAGUUGGUGCGUCGAGACUACGCGGCGAACGGCGGGUGGGAGACGUUUUUGUCGUACGAAGACCCGCGGCAGGACAUCCUCGUCGGGCUGCUUCGGCUUCGGCGGUGCGGCGCGACCGCGGCCGCGACGUCGCCGGAGCUGAGAGGUCAGAAGUGUUCCAUGGUGCGAGAGUUGCACGUGUACGGCAGCGCGGUGGCGGUGCACUCGCGCGAGCGAGGGAAGUUUCAGCACCAGGUGCGUCGUUUUUGUUUUCGCUCUGCGAUGUUUUUUGUUUUUCAGCCACUCCUCGGGUUCAACGUUUGAUCGCGGACCCUUUCAACUGACCGAUGAAUGCGCCUUAAAACAGGGGUACGGCACGUUGCUCAUGCGCGAGGCGGAGCGCAUCGCGCGGCGGGAGCACCGGAGCGCGAAGCUCGCGGUCAUCUCCGGCGUGGGGACGCGGCAUUACUACCGGAAGCUCGGGUACGAGCUCGAGGGACCGUACAUGGUGAAGACGUUGCGAUGAUCGAUGCACGGUAGCGCGCUAGCUAGUUGACUUAGGAGAACGGCGAUAAAUAAAAAAAGUCGCAAACGCACGAAACGGCCCGUCCGAGAACGCGCUCGGUCAACUCUCGCAUUUCCCGAUGCGCCGCGCGUCGUCGUCGUCGUCGCGCCGUCCCCCCGGCGGCGGGCGGGGACGACGAGGAGGCGACGUGGACAUGGUCGCGGCGGCCGUGGCGCUGCAGGAUCACCUCGCGCGGUCGCUCAAGAUGGGCGCGCCGCGCGUGCGGCCGACCGCGCCGCGGCGUCGCGACGACGUUCUACUAGACGUCUCGUCGUCGUCGGGACGUCUUCCCCCCCGCGCCCGUCGCGAGAACGCGGACCCGAACGCGUCGCGCGCCGCCGCCGCCGCCGUCGGGCGCGACGACGGAUGGCGCGCGACGCGAGACGCCGCCGCCGCGAAGCCGUGGACGAACGACGAGGACGACGCGAGCGCGACGCAGGCGAUGCCUCGUCGGCGCCGUCGCCCGACCCUCGCGGAGCGCGCGGGAUUCGUCCCCGCGCCGCCUCCGCCGCUGACGGAGGCGGAGUGGGCUCGCGCGCACGCGACGUCGAAGAAACGCGCGGAGUAUCCGCAGUGCGAGGCGUCGUGCGCGAUAUGCCUCUCCGCGUUCGGCGGCGCGAGUCAGGUGUUGCUGCCGUGCGCGCACAUCUUCCACGAGCGGUGUUUCGAAUCUUUCGAGCGGUUCGCCGGCGAUUCGUCGGCGUCGUACCAUCGGUGUUGUCCCAUCUGCCGCGCGAGCGCGCACGAAAAGCGGCGCAUUCGCGACGGCGCGGCGUCCUGGCGUCGCCGCGCGGCGAUCAAGAUCCAGACCGCGUGGCGGCGGCGCCGGUGCGUGCGAUGGUACGCGAGGGUGCGCGCGUCGAUCCCUCCGAGCGAUCCGAUCGCGAAGAGGGCGUGGUUCGCGGACAAAGUGCGCGACGUCGUGCGGGAGGACGUCCGCGCGAUGCGAGACGUCAGGAGAGACGCGGAGAAGCUGUUCGAGGCGAUCGCGGCGAGGAAGGGCGAGGCGUACGUCGCGCCGUCGUACCUUCUCGACGGCAGCGACAGCGACGAAGUUGCAGGAGACGACGACGACGGGGACGGGGACGACGCGCAGCUGUACUCCGACGUGCAGCUGUCGCUCGCGUUUGAACACGCCGCGCGCGAGGAAGCCGCGGAGGACGCGGCGGCGGGCGACGACGGCGUGGAUUGGGCCGCGGUGGAGAGAACGACGAGCGAUCGUGCGCAGGCGGACUGCCCGAUAUGCUUCGCGGCGCUGCGACGGAGUCGAGAAGAAGACGACGCCGGCGACGGCGGCGACGCGCGGCAUCGCGUCGACGCCGCGCCGCUCGCGCUUCUCGACUGCUCGCACUGUUUCCACAUGAAGUGUCUCCGAGCGUUCGAGGCGUACAACAGCGCGGUCGGGCGCGCGCGGACGUGCCCGAUUUGCCGCGGCGAGUACAAGCGUCGCGCGGUCGCGUAGAAGAAGUGGUAGCGCGUUAACAUAGUCUACGUAUAUGACGAGUAGUCCUUCGUCGAUCCGCGGUCGUAGACCGGUGUCGUCGCGGCGUUCGUAACCUUAGGGCCGUUCUAUACAAGCGAAUGUCGAGGUGGAGUUGAAAGGCGUCAGUUGGAGUUGAAAAGCGUCGAAGGCGGGGAUUGAAAGCGAGGGAUGGGCGGAGAGAUGCGCCGGCGAAAGUCCUUAAGGAUCGGCGUCCACCUCGCGAACGCGGUCGUAUGGGGACCAGUGUAUGGGACGCGCCUUAUUUUCGUUCGUUCGCGUCGUAUCGCGCCCCCCUCACCAUUCACCCGACGCGACGUCGUCGUCGUCGUCGUCGUUCUUCGCGUCGUCGUCGUCGUCGUCGUCGUCGUCGUCGUCGAAUCCGUGCCACAGCGCCUCGUCGUCGUCGCUGCCGUCGUACGCCGCCGACUUCCUGUGCGCCGCCGUCGGAUACGUCUCGUCGAACUCCUCCAUCGUGAAUUCCUCCUCGUCCGGCGCGUGCGCGGCCAGGAGGUACUCGAACGUCUCCCUCUCGCCGUGCUCGAACGCGCUCACGACGCAGUCGUCGUCGAUCUCGCACCCGUUCUCGAUCGCCCAUCGAAGGACGCGGAGAUGCCCGCGCCUGGACGCCUCGAACGUCACGAACGGAUCCCACGCGCACCCGACGGAUCGGAGGUACUCCAGGCACUCCAAGCUCCCCGCCUUCGCCGCGGCUUCGCAGGAGGACAGCGCGGGGUCGUCGAACCACGUAUCGUGCGCGUCGUACGUCGUGAGCCAUCGAAGGACGUCGAGGUGGCCGCCGCGCGCGGCGGCGGCGGCGACGCCGUGCUGCCACUCCAUCGGCGUGCCGCCGGGGGGGGCGACGUCGGGGGCGCCCUGAGAGACGAGCCCGGAGUCUUGCUCUCGGACCCACCGCAGGACUUGGAGUUGCCCGCCGCGCGCGGCCGUGCGCGCGACGCUCGUGAAGUCGAAUCCUUCGCUCUCGUGCGUCGUGGAGAAGCGCCCGAGCGCGUGGAACACGAUGGGGACGCCGCAGCGGCCGCACGCGCAGUCUUGUCCGCGCUCGGCGACGACGUGAACGGGCGACGCGUGACCGGCGACGUAUCGCACCACGUCGAGUCGUCCGCGCCGCGCGGCGCGCUCGCACGUCUCCCAGCGAAGGACGCGGUCGCCCUGCGUCUCGAGCGCCCAUCGCAGCGUCGCGACGUCGCCGUUCUCGGCCGCGAUGUGGCGCACGCGGUCGACAUCGAUCGGGCAGCGCAAGCGCGUUCGCGCGUGCUUCAGCACGGGCAGGUUCCCCCGCACGGACGCGCACGCCUCGGCGACGGACUCGGUCCACGGGCACCCGUCCUUCUUCGCCCACGACAGCAUCGCGACGGAGCCGACGAAGUCCUUCACGCGGAGGUCGGCGCGCCGCGCCGGCGCGCGAGCUCGCGCGGCCUCGCGCGCGCCCUUGGAGACGCGCGCGAAGAGGAACAGCGACGUCGGGUCGAGCCCGGAGAGGACGAGCUCGAGGACGUCGGAGGGGAGGACGCCGAGCCUCGGCCCGAGCGAGGACGGCGGCUCGGAGGUGUAUCGCCCGCUGCGCGUCUUCAUGCGCGCGGGAGCGAGACGGCGGCGCGAGAGCGCGGGGCGUGGCGCGCGCGCGCGGAGGAGGAGUGCGCGCGUCCGCGCGUCUCGCUUCCGGAAGAGGGACAAGAGCGAGAAGAGUUUCCUCGACGCGGCCGCCAGCUGUGCUCGAACACUACAGAAACAGAAGGACUAUCCUAUAGACUAGGCUAUCUACUCUCACCGACAACGACUCGUGGAUGCUCGCGAGCGUCUCCUGAUCGGCGACCUCGCGGUGGCGCGCACCUCGGGAACGUACGCCGCGCUCGUCCCUCGCGCGGACGGCGCUGGUAUGGACGACAGCGCGAGCGACGCGACGCCGCGCGUCACGUCGUCGUCGUCGUCGUCGUCGUCGCCGUCGUCGUCGCUCGUCUCUACUCCUUCGUUCGCUCGGAUCGCCGCGACGAGUUCGACGAGCGCUGGAUUCGCGUCGCGCCACUCUCGAUGAUCCAUCUUCAGCGUGUCCUCGUCGAUCCACGCGCACUCGUCCUUGCUGCGAGUGUCGUCCUGCCACCCGUCGUGUUCGACCUCUUCGCCGUCGUGCUCGAACCCGACGACGAGUCUCAAAUCGCUCCAUCGCGCGACGCGCAGCCUCACCCUCGACACGUCGAACGCGUCGCCUUCGAUCUCGAACGCGGUCUCGAACGCGCCCUUCACGAAAUGCUGCGCGUACACCACCACGCCGUCGCCUUCGUAGCGCGGCGUCUCUUCUUCGCGCGCGACGAGAUCGUCGGAACCCAACUCGAGCUCGCCGAGCGUCUCCUCCUCGUCGCCGACGACUUUCGCGAACUCGAUGACGUUCUGGUCCGCGAACUCUGGAGCGUUGAGAUGCACGAGGUCGUCGAUGUCGUAAAACUCUGGCACGCGCAGACGCUCUGGAAUGUUCCACGCGUCGUCUACGUCGCCGCCCCACCCCACGCCCAGAGAGUGCACGCAUCGCGUGAACAGCGCCUCGCCCAUCUCCAACCAGAAGUGUCCUUGCUCCUGCGUGAUCGUUCCCACGACGUGCUCGCCGCCGUAGCGCGACGCGCGCGCGACUAUCCGCGUCAUGACGCGGAUACAGUACGUCGUCUACCGCAUCUCGCUCAGCCCGCGCCGCGCCGCUUCUUCACGGGGAAACCCGGCGGUGCGUGGCGAUGUGUCGUCGUCGGACGACCUCGGACGGUUCGAAGAGGACGAAACUUUAGCGAAGGUUCAACUCCGGUCCGUCACUCACACGCGCACGCGCACGCGCCGGACGAUGCCUUCGACCGCGCCGCCCACCGCGCGUCGCCGCUAGAAGGACCAACCCUCCUCCCGCCUCGCCUCCGCCCGGCGGCGGGCAUGUCGUCCUCGCACCACGACGCGCGCCCGCCGCACUCGCGCCUCUUCGUCGUCUGCGGCCGCGGCGUGCGCGAGGACGAGCUCGAGAGUUUCUUCGCCGCGCACGGCGAGAUCCAGUCCGCGCGCGUCGUCGAGGCCAAGGGCGUCGCGUACGUCAAGUUCGCGCUCGCGUCGUGCGCCGCGCGCGCGGUCGAGACCCUGCGCGACGCCGGCGACGGCGACGGCGACGGCGGCGACGGCGGCGGCGAGGUGGGCGCGUCGUGCCGAGCGUUCCUCGGCGGAUGCGAGCGAUCGCUCCGCGUCCUCGUCGCGGACGACGGCGGAGGGAACGACCGCGCGACGGCGGCGGCGGCGGCGGCGACGAACAGCGGCGGCGGCGACGGCGCGUCCGUCUCCGAGCGCGAGCGCGGCGGCGGCGGCGACCUCGCGCUCGACCCGGACGACGACCCGCCGCGGUCGCGCCUGUUCGUCGUGUGCCCGAAGGGCACGACGCACGACGUCGUCUCCGGCGCUUUCGCGGAACUUUUACGCGGAUUCGCGGAUCCGUCGGAGGACGCGGAUACCGUCUUGACCAGCGUGCGCGUCGUCCCGCACAAGGGCGUCGCGUUCGCGAAGUUCGCGCGGUCGUCCACGGCGCUGCGGUGCAUGGAGGCGGUCGCCGCGAGCGGGACCCUGGGCGGCGUGCGCGUAAAGUGCAUGCUCGCGGAGCGAAAGUCGACGACGGCGGCGGCGAUGGCGGCGGCGGCGGCGGCGACGGGAGGCGCGACCCCCGCGGGGUCCAACAGCAGCCAGCACACCCCGGCCGCGUCCGGCGGGUCCGCCCGCGAUGCCGCCGCCGCGGGGGGCGCGGGCGCGGGCGCGACGUCCGCCUCCCGGGUUCGACCCGCGAGCAGGUUCACGCGCGCGGGGAGCGAGGACCGCGGCGGCGGGCUCUCGCCGAAGCGUCGCCGCGGCGGCCUCGGCGGGAGGAAGCCGCCGUCGCCCGCGAGCAGCGCGGAGAGCGGCGGGUUGGGCGGAAGCGGGAAGCAGCAGCACUCGUCGUCGCAUCCGCGGAGACAAGGGAGCGCCGGCGGGCCGUCGCCGCGGCCGCCGCCGCCGGACGGCGCGCCGCCCGCGCCCGCGCCCGCGGCGCCCGCGGCGGUUCCCGGCGGGGUGUUCUUAGGCGAGGCGUGGAUGGGCGCGGGGUCGGGCGCGAUGCGCGGGACGAUCGUGUUUCACCCGGAGAUGGCCUCGGGACCGGGGCUUCACGGCGGAGGCGAGUCGCACUCGCCCGCGAGCUCGGGCGGCGCGGCGCCGUCGCCGCAGCCGCGCCCGCCGCCACCGCCGGCGGCGUUUCCCGCGGGCGUCGUCGGCUAUCCCUUCCACGGCGGGUUCCCGCCGGCGCCGGCGUACGCGUACGGGUACCAACCGAUGCCGUGGCCGGGGAUGGGGAUGGGGAUGGGGAUGCCGCCGGUUCCGGCGCCGCCGCUGCCGCCCGGGGCGCCGCCGUCGCCGGGCGACAGCGGCGGUCCGUCGCCGCCGCCGCCGCUCCCGAGAGGCGCGCCGCCGCCGUCGCGCCGACUUCACCGACAUCCUCAAUCGCACGCUCAGCACGCUCAACCGCCUCAGCCUCGACCGUCGCACCGCGUCUUCGUCGUCCUCGACAAGUCCGCGACGCGAGAGACGCUCCUCGAGACGUUCAACGCGAGGGAGUGCGCGGGCGUGGAGACCAUCUCGCUGAAGACGGACGCCGCGGGGAAAUCCCGGGGGUUCGCCUACGUCACCUUCGGCACCGCGGAGGACGCCGCGGACGCGAUCGCGCGCGUGGACGGCGCGGAGAUUCCGCCGGGAAGCGGGAAGAGAGCGAAGGUGAUGCCCGCGGAGGAGCCCGGGUCGCGGCGAGGCGGCGGCGGCGGCGGCGGCGGCGGGACGAUGACGACGACGACGACGACGACGACGACGACGACGAGACCCGCCGCGAAGGAUGCGCACGACGAAGACGACGGCGGGGGGUUGCGGCGGCAGCGACCGGACGACGACGACGCGCAGAGCGUGCAGCCGCCGCCGGGGAAGUACUCGCGGCUCAUGGACAGCGGCGUGCGAGGCGAGGGAGGCGGCGGCGUGGGCGGCGGCGCGGGCGAGGACGAGGACGACGGCGAGGACAUCGAGGACGGACCCGAGGCGGCGUCCGGCGGCGGCGCGCGAAACAUGCACCCCGGCGACAGCAGCGGCGACGACGAGGACGACGACGACGACGACGACGCGAAGGCGCCGAGGGGCGAGACCGCCGACGUCGCCGGCGAAGACGAAGACGAAGACGCCGACGCCGACGCCGUCAAAGAAGAGAUCGACGAGACGACGACGGCGACGACGACGACGGUGGAUCUGGAAGCCCCCGGCGACGUCGCGCUCGCGAUGCGCGCGGUAUCCCUCGCGCCGCCCGCGCCGCCCGCGCCGCCCGCGCAUCCCGCGCAUCCCCGACCCGGAUCGCUCUUCUUCUCGCUGUCGCUGCCGCUCCCCGCGCACGCGCUCCGGCACGUCCUCGCCGCGCACGGGUCGCUGACGUCGCUCGAGAUGCGCGACGACGACCGCGGCGGCGCGGCGACGUACGAAGAUCCGAACGACGCCGCGGCGGCGUGCGAGGCGUUGGACGGAACCGACGUGUUGGGGAUCGCGCUCAGGGUGUCGUCCGAGCCGAUCGCGGCGGAGGAGGAGGGCGAGAGAGAGGACGACGCGGACGAGGAUGGGGCGAAAAAUAAGGAGAAGGACGACGCGGGGGCGGGCUCGGACGGAGAGAGGGAGAAAGAGAGGACGAAACCUCCGGCGGCGGCGGCGGCGGCGGCGGCGGCGGCGGCGCAACCGAAGAAACGCGCGCGGCGAUAGAGAAACGACCGACGAAAAACAAAACAAAGCGCAACUUCGACUACUCCGGUCGCGCUUCCCCGUCGCGACGACUCUUCUCUUCGACUUUAACCCCUCCGACGAGCGCCCACGCGCGAUCGAGCUCACGCUGCAGCGUCUCGGAUCGAGCCCUCAACGCCUCGGACCUCUUCUUUUCCACCGUCGCCGCCGCCGCGUGCGUCGUCAUCUCCAUCUCGAGCGCGCGGACGCGGGCGUUCGCCUCGCGCAGCGCGAUGUCGAGAACGUCCACGUUAAGCUCGCGGCGAUCCAGGAGGAUUUCUUUGCCGUCGCCGCCGUCGCCGUCGCUUAUCCGCGUUCGGAGGGUUCUACGGCGCCCUCGCGAACGGGUUCAUCACCGUCUCGCACGUGAUAGGGCUGCCUCGAUUCUUUUGGUUGCUCGCCACGGAUUCUCGGAAGACGCCGCCGGAGGUGUACGAGGACGGGAGGGAGCCGCCGGGAGCGACGACGGAGGAGGUGGAGGAAGAAAACGAGAAGGCGAAGGCGAAGGAGGAGGAGACGGAAGAGGAAGAAGAAGCGGACGCGAAAGCGUCCGCCGUCCAAAAAGUGUUGUGAGACGACGUAAUGGUUCCCAUACGACCGCGUUGGCGUGGUGAACGCCGUUCCUUAAGGACUUUUCCCGUCGAUUCUCUCCGCCCAAAGACAUAGUCGCGUCGUGUACCUUACGUGCUCGUCCGUCGUCGUCGACCCUACGCGCGUCGUCCCAGCGUCGCCACCCGCGGCAGCGCGCGCGCGCCCGGGCUCCGUUUCCCCCCGCUCCCCGGCCGCGGCGACUCUCUCAGAGCGCGCGCCACCGCCGCCGCCGCCGCCGACGCCGCCCCGCUCCUCUCCGACGCGUCCCUUCGCGCCGCAGCCCUCGCCGCGGGCCCGACCGUCCCGCCGACCGUCCCUGGCAUCCCCGUCCCUGGCAUCCCGAUCCCCGGCGUCGCCGCGCCCAGCCCACUCGCGGCGCUCACCGGCGCGCGCAUGAGCUCCUGAUACAAGUUAUACCCCGUCGCGCACGCCGUGACGAGCAGCGGACCGAGCACCGCGCCCUGCAGCGCCGGGUCGAACACGCACAUCCCGCCGACGACGGACAGACCGACGACGUACGGGUGCACGACGCGUAUCUCGCUCUGGUAGAUGUCGAUGUCGACGAAUAUCAGCGUGAUCCAGUGCAUCAACACGAGCGCGGCGGCUUUCGCGCCCUCUCCCUUGGCGAGGAGUCCGAGCGCCGCGGGGAGAGAGACGGACCACGACGCGAGCAGCGGGAGGAUCGCGGUGAGCCCGGACGCGAGCGUGGACGUGUACACGAAGUGCACGCCGAACGCGCGGAACGUGACCCACGUGAACGCCGCGUGAAACAGCGCGAGCUUGACGCACGACACGAAGACGCCCCUGACGCCUCUCGUCAGCGACUUCACCGCGACCUCCUUGACGUGCGCGUUCACCGGGAUCAGCUCCACGAGCCUCACCGCGGGGUCGGCCUCGCUGUUUAGGAUGUGGAACAACACGGUGAAAAACACGACGGAUUUCAAGACGUAGCUCAGCACGCCGCCGGCGACGCCGAAGACGCUGAAGGACGCCCUCGCGGCCCAGGACGUGACCUGCGCGAUGCCGCGGCCGCCGCCGGCGACGAUGUCCGCGGCGCGGUCUUGGAGCGCGUUUCUCGCGGCGGACGCGACGCGCAGGACGUCGUCCACGGACGCGGACGCGGCGCCCGCGCCGGCGGCUUUUCCUCCGCGUUUUUUGCCGCCGCCGCCGCCGCUGAAGCCGAAGAGCCGCCGGACGCCGCCGCCGCCGCCGCCGCCGCCGCCGCGCGCGCCUCCCGCCCCCUUCGCGCCGCCGCCCGCUCCCGCCGCGAUCUCCGCGCCGACGUCCACGAGGUGCGAGAACGCGCCGGCGACGUCGCCGCCGCGCAGCACGCGCCCGGCUUCCUUCAACCCCGCCGCCCACCGCGACGACGACGCGCCGCCGCGACUCAUCAUCGCGCCGCCGCCGCCGCGUCUCCCUCCUCUUCUCUUACCGUUACCGUUACCGUUUAGACCCCCUUCCUCGCCGCCCGACUCCAUCAGCUCCGCGUACAUCCCCUGCAUGCUCUCCCACAGCUCCGUGACGUUGCACCCGGGGAAGACGUCCUCGAGGUGCGCCUGCGCGUACGUCAGCGCGCGCGGCCACUGCUUCUCCACCGCCUCACUCCACGCCUUGACGCCGGCGUCGACGACGCCGCGCACCGCCGGCGACGAAUACCUGGCGUAUACGCCGCCGCCGCCGCCGCCGCUCGCGGACGAAUACCCGUGCACCAUCGAGCGGUGCGCCUCGACGACCGCGUCGCCGCUCUCGCGCGCGAUGUUCACCGUGAAGAACGUCGCGACGACGGCGAGGAGAAAGACGCCGACGGCGAUGAGCGACGCCGCGACGAUGGGGUUAACGGACGCGAUCAGCGCGCGUCGAAUCUUCGCAUCCGCGGCGAGGUACGCGCGGAAGACGCGCCCGCUGGUUCUGGUUUUUUUGUGACUCGAAAUCGCGCGCCUCGGCGUGGGCGUCGUUUUGGAGGAAGAUGAACCGUCGCGAACGACGGAAGAUGAACCGUCGGCUCUUUCGGGCCCGGGCGCGAUGCACCGCCGCGUGGACGACGCGAUCGCGACGGCGGCCGCCGCCGCGACGAACGCCACCGCGGCGAGCGCGGCGAUCGACGCGGUCAGCGCCCAGUCCCUCGACGCUAGCUUCCACACCUCCAACGAGACGCCCACGGUCGCGAGCCACUUGAAGUGAAACGUCGACGCGGAGGACGGCGCGCGCGCCGUCGCCCUCUUAGUUGCUCUCGCGGCGGCGGCGCGUCUCGACAGCGGCGACGCGGGCGCGGACGCGGGGGCCCGGGCCCCGCGCGUCCCCCCCGCCAGCCCUCCCGACGCCGUCUCGUUCAGAUGACGCGCCGUCGCGGCGUCCAUCGCGCGUAACGCCGCCCUCGCGGGCGCGACGACGACGGACGUCGCGAGACCGAGCAGCGUGUUCUCCGCGAGCGUCCUUCGGAGACGGCUCGCGAGCGCUACUUUUACGUCGCGCAGCGCGAGAGAGACGAGGAGCGCCCAGAGCAUGGGCGACCGGAAGUCCGCGAGGAGGCGCCACAUGAGGACGACGAGGCCGACGCCGAGGAGGAGGAUCGCGUUCCCGACCGCGUUGAAGAGCCCGACGCGGAAGAGCGCCUCGUUGUUCGCCUGCGUCAGCCCGCCGUCGCCCGCCGCGUGAUGCGCGAACGGCGUCGACGGCGUCGUCGUCGCAUUCGAGACGAUCGAGGUCGUCGUCGCGGACGUCGUCGGCGUGGGCGGGAGGUCGAAUCGCACGCCGCCGGCGUCCGCGGCGGCGUCCUCCCCCGCGUCUUCGCUGAGCCGGCGACGCAGCCAUCCCCCGAUGUUGCCGCCGCCGCCGCCGCCGCUCUUCGUCGAGGCGGACGACACGAGAUCCGGGGCGUUGUUGGCGCUCAUCGCACGAUGCGUCGUCGUCGCGCGCGGCGUGGUCUCCGGCGGCGAGAGCGCGCCCGCGGCCUGCCCCGUCGCCCGGCGCGUCAGCACGCUCUCCGGCGUCGUCGUCUCGCGCCGCGCGUGCUGCCGCGCGGCGACCUUCCCCGCGGCGUCGUCGAGCGCCCCCAUCGCGCGCGGCGCUCUGGUGCUACAGUUCAAAAUGCGAGACGAGCAGCUCGCACUCAUCAUCAACGACUCCGCCGGUCUCGUCAUCUUCAGUCGUCACCGCGCCGCGAUCGCGAUGGCGCCGCGGACGAUCAUCGACGCCGGUCCCGGUCUUCACGUCGACGCGCUGCAGAUCACGCCCGAGUACGUCGCGUGCGUCGCGUCCAAGUUCACCGGUCGCCUGUGGCAGGGCUACGUCCGCGCGCGCGCGGUGGGCGACGAUCCAUCAUCAGACGGCGUCGUCGGUCCGUCAGCGUCGUCGUCGGAGGCGACGCCCGCGAAGACGACCGCCGGGAUCGCGACGCUCGCGGCCGUGGGCAACAGCGACUUCGUCACCGGCAACGACGCGGGCGUGAUCGAGCAGUGGCGCGUCGUCGACGGCGCCGUCGCGCGCGUCGACGCCGCGCGCGCGCACGACGGUGCCAUCACCGCGGUCGCGCACGUCGCGCCGUCCUCGCUCGUCACCGGCGGCGUCGACGGGAGACUGCGAUGGUGCGAGCUGACCGCGCUGGACGUCGCGACCGCGACGGUGCAGCGCGCGCACGUCAGCGCGGUCCUCGCGAUCGCGGUGAACCCGAGCGAUCCCUCGCUCGUCGCCACGAGCGGCGAAGACGGCGUCGUGAAGGUGUGGAAGGUGAAGGCGGCCGCGGGAGACGGCGACGGUACAGCUCGCGACAGCUGUCAGCUGUCGGCGGCGCGCGCGGGCGCCGACGUCAGAGACGACAUGGGCAAAGCGCACGCGCUCGCGUGGUGCGGCGACGACGUCCUCGCGGUCGGGUACGAGCGCGGCGAGAUCGUCCUCUUCGAGACGACCGCGCUGGACGCCCUGCGCACGCGCGCGGUCGUGGAGGCGCACGGCGACGCCGUCAGAGGGCUCGCGUGGGACGACGUCGGGAAGCGGCUGGCGUCGUGCGGCGACGACGGCGUCGUCGCGAUUCACGCGGGGGAGGUGCCGCGGUCGACGAGGGAGGCGAAGCGGCACGACGGGGCGUACGUGAGGUGCGUCGCGUGGGGGCGGGUCGAGGGAGGGGGGGAUGGGGAGGACGAGGUGGUCAGCGGCGGGUGGGACGGCGAGGUGAAGGCGGGAUGAUCGUCUCGACGACGAGGUGCGCGCGCGCGUCGUUGGCUAUAAGAUACGCGAUGAUUCGUUUCGAUUCGAUCCGUUUCGUUUAGUUUCGCUCUCGAGUUUUCGUGAUAUUAAAUAACACUCUGAGAGGCUGCGAUCUUGUGUUUUUUGUAUCGCAAAAAAUUCUCUUCGCUUCGUCGCCGCGCGCGCGCGGCCGCGCUCGCGACCGCCCGCGGCGGGACCCCUUUGGGGGGACGCCGCCCGCUUCGCGCCCGGUCGCGUCCCGCGACCGGGCGCAACGUUCCUAAAUCAAUCUCAAUCCGCGUGAGACGUACCUAGUAGCAGUACCGUAAUAAUCAUCCGCCCGAUGCAUGCGGAGGCGUCGGCCGCCUCGCAAACCGCGUCGCCGCCGUUCCGACUCGUCAGUCAUCGUUCG